RNAcentral lists this long non-coding RNA (2263 nucleotides) under Equus caballus (horse). Its description in RNAcentral is "lncRNA (ENSECAG00000055581.1)". Lineage: Eukaryota; Metazoa; Chordata; Mammalia; Perissodactyla; Equidae. The record is from RNAcentral.
UGGCAACGGAUGUUAGCUCAGGGUAAAUCUUCCUCACUAAAAAAAAAAAAGAAAAAAGGUACCAUACUACGCAUACUGCUGUGUAACUUGUUUUUGUCGUUUCCUGGGUUGCAUGGUGCUCCCUCAUCCAGCUGGAACCUAUGAGUGUGACCUUAAGUGGAAAUAGGGCUUUGCAGACAUAAUUAGGUAAGGAUCUCGAGAGGAGGUCACUCUGGAUGACCUGCUGGGCCCUAGGGCCAGUGACCGGCGCCCUUAGAAGAAGAGGGGAGACAUGCAGGGGAGAGGCUGCACUGCUGUCCAGGGAUCAGCAACGCUCACCCCUGCAGAGACACUGUCCCGUGCCUGGGGAGGUGGUCCCAGGGCUCUGAGAGCCUCUAGGCUUCCUUCCCCUGAGAAGCCCCCACCCGUGCUGAGAAAGUGGCCCUGGGCCCCUGAGAGCCCUGGAUGCCCUUCUCCCCUGUACCCCACCCCUGCUGGGGAUGUGCCCUGGGCCCCCAGAAGCCCACGCAGGCCCCCUUGCUUGGACUCUCUCUCCCGGCCGGAGUGGCCUCUGAACUGCACAUCCACCAGGCGGGCUGGCCGUGCACUUGUCUAUGGCGGUUCUGGCGGCUCGGAGCUGAAGUUCAAAGUCCAAACCCCUCACUGGGUCCCCCCUCAGGACCCUGCUCCCUACCUCAGGCCUCCAUCCCGACACUGCACACACCACAGCAAUGCAUGCUGUUCCACGUCUGCCUACUCUGUUCCUCUGCCUGGAACACCAGUCCUCCCCCGGCCCCACUCCCAUCCUCUGGGCCUCAGUGCUGACACUGCCUUCCCCAGGCCUGGCCUGGGCCUGAUGGCGUCCCCACGAUGCACUGGGCUCCCCAUUCUCCACACAUUCCAGAACUGUCUGAAUGGAACUGUGUGACCCCUGACCUCAGCCCAAAGGUCAUCAGGGCCUGGGCAGUGGGAUGGGCCACAUCUGGAAGGGCAAUCUGCCUGGGGGCCUAAGUCUCCAUUUCUCCACUUUCCUGCAACAUACUUGUGCCUGAGACUGAGGGACAUCAGAACCCUGGAGUUUGAGGGGUGACACGUGGCUACUCAGAGAAAGACUACGUUUCCCAGCCUUCUUUGCAGCAAGUAAGGUCAUAUGACUAAGCUGUGGCCAAUGGGAUGUGAGCAGAAGCAAUGUGUAUUUCCAGGUCCUGUCCUUAAGUGGAAAGGCAUGCUCUUCACUUCCCCUUUGCCUUUCCUCCUUUGCCUUUCUGGAGUGUGGAGGUGAUGGCCGGAGCUGGAGCAGCCACUUUGGACUGCAAGACAAAAGCCAUGUCUUGAGGAUGCCACACAACAAAGCAGAAGGAAUUUUAUCCCUGACAACGUGGGGUCUCAGUCCUUGGAUGCUUAUAUUCAGAGUGUUACAUGAAAGACAAAUACACUGCUCUCCUGAUUAAGCCAAUUUUAUUGGGGUCCCUUGGUGAAAUGUGUUUUAUUUUCCCUGACUCUUGGGCUGUUUCCAACGUGGCCACUUGGUCUGUGUAAUGUGUUGAAAAGUGUCUCCCAGAUGCAUAUUCCCUGGAACUUCAGAAUGUGGCCUAUCUGGAAGUAGGGUCUUUGAAGGCCAUGUGAAGACACGAAGACAAAGAGGAGACACACGGGCGGACAGCCAUCAGAUGACAACGGAGGCAGAGACUGGAGCCACGUGGCCACAAGUCAAGGAGCAGCAACGACUGCUGGCACCCCCGGAAGCUGGGAGAAACAAGGAAAAAUUCUCCCUCCAGCUUUCGGAGUGAUGGCGGCCCUGCAGACACCUUGAUUUCGGACUUUUAGCCUCCAGAACUGUGGGAGAACAAAUUCCCUGUGUCCUAGGGCACUUGGUCUGCGAUAUUUUGUUACGCAGCCCUAGGAAACCAACGGAGUUCACCGCAUGGAAAAUUACAGGUUAAAGACUCCUCUCUUUGGGCCACGGCCCCGGGAAAUGAAUAACAGCUGCUGGCUGAACUGUCUGGGUCACGUGUAGAUGCUCACGGCGGGACCUGCUCAAUGGGACCGACUAGAAUGAAGCUGCUGCUGCGGCCUGCACCUCCCAGCCCGCCACCACUGCCCCCUGCACCCAUCAUGGCUCUGCGCGUGGUGACACCCAACAUCACAGAUGGGGCGCAAUGUAAUGGACUUGGUAAUCCUGCUGCAGAGGCAACCGCCGCCUCCCAGACAGGACUCUUCAUUUGUCUCGCAGUGGGGGGGGGGGGGGGGGCGGUCACUGCAUGGGGCGUGGACCCCCGGCUCC